RNAcentral lists this ribosomal RNA (435 nucleotides) under uncultured Flavobacterium sp. RNAcentral describes it as "bacterial SSU rRNA". It matches the Rfam family "Bacterial small subunit ribosomal RNA", at positions 358 to 790 of the family's 1533-position model. The record is from RNAcentral. Lineage: Bacteria; Pseudomonadati; Bacteroidota; Flavobacteriia; Flavobacteriales; Flavobacteriaceae.
GGAAUAUUGGACAAUGGGCGCAAGCCUGAUCCAGCCAUGCCGCGUGCAGGAUGACGGUCCUAUGGAUUGUAAACUGCUUUUAUACGAGAAGAAACACUCCGACGUGUCGGAGCUUGACGGUAUCGUAAGAAUAAGGAUCGGCUAACUCCGUGCCAGCAGCCGCGGUAAUACGGAGGAUCCAAGCGUUAUCCGGAAUCAUUGGGUUUAAAGGGUCCGUAGGCGGUUUAAUAAGUCAGUGGUGAAAGCCCAUCGCUCAACGGUGGAACGGCCAUUGAUACUGUUAGACUUGAAUUAUUAGGAAGUAACUAGAAUAUGUAGUGUAGCGGUGAAAUGCUUAGAGAUUACAUGGAAUACCAAUUGCGAAGGCAGGUUACUACUAAUUGAUUGACGCUGAUGGACGAAAGCGUGGGUAGCGAACAGGAUUAGAUACCCGGG